GAGCGCAAUGGAUAGCGUGUUGGACUUCCAAUUCGAAAGGUCGUGGGUUCGAAUAUCACCCG
This 62-nucleotide transfer RNA is filed under the name Trichonephila clavata. Its description in RNAcentral is "tRNA-Gly". The record is from RNAcentral. Lineage: Eukaryota; Metazoa; Arthropoda; Arachnida; Araneae; Nephilidae.